This 1566-nucleotide ribosomal RNA is filed under the name Enterococcus hirae. RNAcentral's name for it is "bacterial SSU rRNA". It matches the Rfam family "Bacterial small subunit ribosomal RNA". Lineage: Bacteria; Bacillati; Bacillota; Bacilli; Lactobacillales; Enterococcaceae. The record is from RNAcentral.
UAUGAGAGUUUGAUCCUGGCUCAGGACGAACGCUGGCGGCGUGCCUAAUACAUGCAAGUCGAACGCUUCUUUUUCCACCGGAGCUUGCUCCACCGGAAAAAGAGGAGUGGCGAACGGGUGAGUAACACGUGGGUAACCUGCCCAUCAGAAGGGGAUAACACUUGGAAACAGGUGCUAAUACCGUAUAACAAUCGAAACCGCAUGGUUUUGAUUUGAAAGGCGCUUUACGGUGCCGCUGAUGGAUGGACCCGCGGUGCAUUAGCUAGUUGGUGAGGUAACGGCUCACCAAGGCCACGAUGCAUAGCCGACCUGAGAGGGUGAUCGGCCACAUUGGGACUGAGACACGGCCCAAACUCCUACGGGAGGCAGCAGUAGGGAAUCUUCGGCAAUGGACGAAAGUCUGACCGAGCAACGCCGCGUGAGUGAAGAAGGUUUUCGGAUCGUAAAACUCUGUUGUUAGAGAAGAACAAGGAUGAGAGUAACUGUUCAUCCCUUGACGGUAUCUAACCAGAAAGCCACGGCUAACUACGUGCCAGCAGCCGCGGUAAUACGUAGGUGGCAAGCGUUGUCCGGAUUUAUUGGGCGUAAAGCGAGCGCAGGCGGUUUCUUAAGUCUGAUGUGAAAGCCCCCGGCUCAACCGGGGAGGGUCAUUGGAAACUGGGAGACUUGAGUGCAGAAGAGGAGAGUGGAAUUCCAUGUGUAGCGGUGAAAUGCGUAGAUAUAUGGAGGAACACCAGUGGCGAAGGCGGCUCUCUGGUCUGUAACUGACGCUGAGGCUCGAAAGCGUGGGGAGCAAACAGGAUUAGAUACCCUGGUAGUCCACGCCGUAAACGAUGAGUGCUAAGUGUUGGAGGGUUUCCGCCCUUCAGUGCUGCAGCUAACGCAUUAAGCACUCCGCCUGGGGAGUACGACCGCAAGGUUGAAACUCAAAGGAAUUGACGGGGGCCCGCACAAGCGGUGGAGCAUGUGGUUUAAUUCGAAGCAACGCGAAGAACCUUACCAGGUCUUGACAUCCUUUGACCACUCUAGAGAUAGAGCUUCCCCUUCGGGGGCAAAGUGACAGGUGGUGCAUGGUUGUCGUCAGCUCGUGUCGUGAGAUGUUGGGUUAAGUCCCGCAACGAGCGCAACCCUUAUUGUUAGUUGCCAUCAUUUAGUUGGGCACUCUAGCAAGACUGCCGGUGACAAACCGGAGGAAGGUGGGGAUGACGUCAAAUCAUCAUGCCCCUUAUGACCUGGGCUACACACGUGCUACAAUGGGAAGUACAACGAGUCGCGAAGUCGCGAGGCUAAGCUAAUCUCUUAAAGCUUCUCUCAGUUCGGAUUGUAGGCUGCAACUCGCCUACAUGAAGCCGGAAUCGCUAGUAAUCGCGGAUCAGCACGCCGCGGUGAAUACGUUCCCGGGCCUUGUACACACCGCCCGUCACACCACGAGAGUUUGUAACACCCGAAGUCGGUGAGGUAACCUUUUUGGAGCCAGCCGCCUAAGGUGGGAUAGAUGAUUGGGGUGAAGUCGUAACAAGGUAGCCGUAUCGGAAGGUGCGGCUGGAUCACCUCCUUUCUAAGGAA